This 262-nucleotide ribosomal RNA is filed under the name uncultured bacterium. RNAcentral describes it as "partial 16S ribosomal RNA". It matches the Rfam family "Bacterial small subunit ribosomal RNA", at positions 793 to 1055 of the family's 1533-position model. The record is from RNAcentral.
GUCCACGCCGUAAACGUUGGGCGCUAGGUGUGGGGAACCUUCCACGUUCUCCGUGCCGCAGCUAACGCAUUAAGCGCCCCGCCUGGGGAGUACGGCCGCAAGGCUAAAACUCAAAGGAAUUGACGGGGGCCCGCACAAGCGGCGGAGCAUGUGGCUUAAUUCGACGCAACGCGAAGAACCUUACCAAGGCUUGACAUAUACCGAAAACUCGUAGAGAUACGGGGUCCGCAAGGGCGGUAUACAGGUGGUGCAUGGUUGUCGU